GUCUCCUCACGAGUAUAGAAUUUACUGCAAUUUCAAACCCUGCAUUUAUAUUUUCACUUGUAUGAUUUCGCUUUUUAUGGAAAAGUCAUUUAGGCUGAAGAUAAGUCACAAAGCAAACCUAAAUUUUUUAGGUUUACAAUAAAUGCAUACAUUAAUUUAGGUUCAACAGCUUUUUCUUGAGGUGCCAUGCUAUCAGCAUUGUGGCAUGGCCUGAAUAAUUCACCAAUAAUUCAAAGAUGCUUGGAAGUGUCAGAAUUUUCUGCACACAAAUAGCAGAAGUCUUGUUGGAUGAAAAGGAAAUGAAGGUAAGGUGGAUUUUUCCAACUAUCUACCACACAGUGAGAUAGAAAAGUAUUAUCAUAUUCAGUGCUACUUUAAUUAUUGAUGGACAGCUCAAAUAUCUUUCAUCUCUUCUGCAAAGAAUAUAAAUCUAUUUUUUCUUGUUCAAACUGAUCCAAUUUAUAAGGUUGGCAAUGUUUGCUACUCCACGUUUGUAUUUGCUGAAAAGGAACUUAAAUUCUCUUAAUAUUUAAUACUAUUUCUGAGCUUCCUAGUAUAAAAGGAGGAUCUUUUCCAAAAAAAAUGACACAACAUUGUUGUUCUAAACACUGUUUCACCAAUCCUGUAUAUUUCUUAAAUGCAUAACCUUUCCAAAAUGGAAAUUCUCCUCUUAAAAAAUAUACUACAAUUUGCUCCACAAAAAAGUUGUUUGCUUGCUUUAUCCCAGGAGGAGCUCAAGUAGUAUUUGUGUAGCUUUUCUUCGUGUAUGUCAAACUUUUUUGCUUCCUUCUCCAACAGGAGAUAAAAAGAGAAACUCAGGAUCUCCAGAAUCCUUUUGUUUGAAAGGUGUUUGGAAAAUGAGAGGGAAAAGUGAAGAAACUUGAGUGUCCUUCAACAGAGACUUGAAAAUUCCUGCAAGCUACUAUUUCCACUUUGAUGUGAGAGUUAAGAAUGGACAUCUCAGACUACCUAAUGCAAUGGGAAGCAAGUAAUUCCAAGCAUUCCCAUGCUAUCAGGCGGAGGGAAAUUGAGUGCAGUGGUUUUAGAGCAACGUGACUUUGGGGCUGUGGUGUUUUUAUGACUGUCAGGAGGUCUCCAGGAACAUUGUUUCAUGCUUCUUCCUAGGAGAACCUUUGAAAACAUAGCAUCAUAGAAUGGUUUGGGUUGGAAGAUCAUCCAGUUCCAACCUCCCUACCAUGGACAGGGCACCUUCCACUAAACCAGGUUUUUCAGGGCCCUGUCCAACCUAUCCAUACUCGGGUCUUUAACCAAAGAGUGUCAUUUGUUGUGUAUCGUACUGCUGGCAAACAUCCCAGCCUACAAAAAAUACUCCUGUGGGAAAUCUCUCAAUAAAAACUUUCCAGCCCCUUUUGUUUUCAGCAGAAGGAGGAGCAGGAACUCAUCAAUGUGGAGAGGCAGCAAAGCUGCACCAUCACUGCAUUCAAGUUGGAUUAAGUGCUCUGAAUUGAGCUCUGGAGAAAGCAAAGGCAACAAGUCUGGUUCUAAACUCUCAUCAAACGGCUCCGCAGAGAUGAGAAUUAUUUUCAUUGUGCAUGCAGAAAGCAGCACCCUGAACACCACUGAGAGGGCACAGAGCCUUCUGACACCACAGAGGAGAGAAAAACCUGUUUCUUGCUGGUAGAGUCUCAGUGAAAAUAUUCAUCAAAGGAAAUUUAUAAUGCACUGACAUUGAGCAAAAGACCAAAGAUGAUGCUGGAUCUUCUGAAAGAGGUGAAUGAAGAGUGGAAGUUCUGACAGCAUUUGACGAAUGAUGGAGGUGAAAGAUCUAAAGGCUGGGACCAUCAGCUGCACCAGCCUUGAGGAGGCAUUUGAGUCGUGGUCCAGCCAGCCACUCCGGUUCUUUUUCCCAUCCAUGAGCUUGAGGGAUUUCAGGGU
Corvus hawaiiensis (hawaiian crow) is the source of this 1896-nucleotide long non-coding RNA. RefSeq lists it as uncharacterized. The record is from RefSeq and is a predicted model, not a curated record. Lineage: Eukaryota; Metazoa; Chordata; Aves; Passeriformes; Corvidae. The transcript has 3 exons.